This 468-nucleotide ribosomal RNA is filed under the name uncultured bacterium. RNAcentral's name for it is "partial 16S ribosomal RNA". It matches the Rfam family "Bacterial small subunit ribosomal RNA", at positions 28 to 507 of the family's 1533-position model. The record is from RNAcentral.
GACGAACGCUGGCGGCGUGCUUAACACAUGCAAGUCGAACGGAAAGGCCCUGCUUUUGUGGGGUGCUCGAGUGGCGAACGGGUGAGUAACACGUGAGUAACCUGCCCUUGACUUUGGGAUAACUUCAGGAAACUGGGGCUAAUACCGGAUAGGAGCUCCUGCUGCAUGGUGGGGGUUGGAAAGUUUCGGCGGUUGGGGAUGGACUCGCGGCUUUUCAGCUUGUUGGUGGGGUAGUGGCUUACCAAGGCUUUGACGGGUAGCCGGCCUGAGAGGGUGACCGGCCACAUUGGGACUGAGAUACGGCCCAGACUCCUACGGGAGGCAGCAGUGGGGAAUAUUGCACAAUGGGCGGAGGCCUGAUGCAGCAACGCCGCGUGCGGGAUGACGGCCUUCGGGUUGUAAACCGCUGUCGCCUGUGACGAAGCGUGAGUGACGGUAAUGGGUAAAGAAGCACCGGCUAACUACGUG